GAAAUAUUUGGAUUUCUAUGCAAACUUUUAGAAUUGAACUAAUUUCUUGAUGUGAAUAGUUCCAGUGCCUUGCAUUACUUCUGAAGUCUAAAUCUUUUGUUCUGUGCAUCCAGGAAGUAUUGGCUACACUGAAGUGCCUGCUAUGCUCUGAGUUUGCUCCUUCGACUGCUUUUAUCACACUUGAAUUUGCAAUGAUGCUUGCAUCAUGGGCUGAAAUUCUAUUCUCUUGCCUCCUAUCAUCCUUUCUCCUCUUUCUGCAACCCCUUCAGCCUCAGACACAGCCUGAUAGAUGUAGCACUUCACUUUGGUGCACCACUUUUUAAACUAUCUCUUCCCAGGAGUCUUGGAAUUCAUUCUUAUUCUUCAUCGUCAGGGGGGAUUCCCAGCUCUUCAUCUGCCCACUUAGAAGGAUCUGGAUAAGGAAAGUGGCCCAGCACAACAUCAGGAUCAUGCCAGAAUUUCCACAGGAUCCAGAACCACAUUAGAGCCACGGGUUCCUUAACAUGACUUUAUUGAGCUCACAAUACGUUGUGUUCCAAGACAUAGAAUAGCCGUCAUGUUCACCAGUGCAAUGCUUAUGUCAAUAUUCAAGUUGUAAAAAGAACAGACAUGGUUUUUGAAUUAUCUCCUUGUGAAGAAUAGUCAGUAUAGUGCAGAAAUUGACUCUUAAGAGUGCAUGGAAUAGAGAUCAUGAUGAAAAUGAUUAUUUAUGACUUACAUGAGGUCAUUGCUCUCCAUCGUACAGGCUUCUGAGGAAGCAGUUAUGCAAGAAGCUCAUUUAGAGAAAUCAAGAUAGAUUGCAUUUCAUUCCGUGUCAUGUCCUUUGUGGUUGAUGGCCACAAUGCACAGGGACAGUCAUUAUUCCUGCUUACCCAGAAGCACCAUGGCAGCUCUGCUAAAGAAAACAGAUAUUUGUACAUAAUAACUUGUCCCCGACUCAUGUAGCUUCUAAUGGAGGAGAGGGUGGAAGGGCGAAGUAUACAGAUGGAGUAGGUACAUGAUAGGAUGCUUCUGAGCUAAUGAGGCACGCUCAUCAUAAUUUGCAAAUGACAGUUUACUCUCCAGUUCUUGGUAUUUAACUUAGAAAUCAUUGACUGGCUCUCAUUUUGCAGGAGGGAAUCAAAUUAUUGUUGUUAUUAGUCAUUAGGCAUUAUUAUGUGCUUAUUAGGUAUUAGUAUAGUGUUGUAGGAAUGUAAAUGCUAAUAGAGUCCAGUCGUGCAACAACUGUGUAUUUCAUGUCUGUUUACUGAUCAUUACUUUCUAGCUUUCACUUACUGGAUCAUUACAGUAUAUAUAUCAUUAUACUGUAGUUAUUUUGAAUAAAAAGCAGUCUUUGUGAAGGAAUUAAAUUAAAUGACCUUGGAAUUGUUUUGUUCAUAAGCUGAGUCAAAUUUCCCUAGUGGGAAAUCAUGACAAACGCUGGCCAGCGCUGCUCUCCAAUUUGGGAAUUCUAUUUCCAGAGAGGAGAGAGCUAUAGAAGGGUCUUACAUGUUAGCAUAUGUGACAUAUGAACAGGAGCCAUGUCUAUUUAAGAUUAAAGUUUUAAUACAUUUUUAUGUUAUUAAUGUAAAAGAUUUUAACAUCAAAAUUGUGUAUUUUUUAUUUUUUAAUUCUUAUAUUUUUAUACAUUUGCAUAUGGGCUAAGGGGAGCAUCUUUGGGGACAUGCCUUGAGUCACGUAGGCAUCUAGAAUUUGAGUAUAUAAAGGAGGAAUUUCUUUGUCCUCUCUCUGGAAGCACACACGAGGCUUUUACACAAUCUUCUACCAUGCUCUUUGGAGAGAGAUGUAGUUCCUGAUAAAGAUAGGCCUGCAUGAUUUAUUGCUGUAUCCUGAACUAUAUUUGGAACUAAGAUGUUUUUACCUGUAUGACCUACCUCAUACAUGCUUGUGAGUAAAUACUUUUGCUAUUUUGA
Molecule: long non-coding RNA, 1913 nt
Organism: Anolis carolinensis (green anole)
Lineage: Eukaryota; Metazoa; Chordata; Lepidosauria; Squamata; Anolidae
Exons: 2
Source: RefSeq, a predicted model, not a curated record